AGAACUCUGGUGAGAAUUCUUGUUUUGGUGGUGUUGGUGAAGGAUCAUCCAAUAUCUUCAUUCACAUAACAGUAAUUAGUGUAAAUAUAAAUAAUAUAUCGGAAGAAAGGAUUUGGGGACA
Molecule: small nuclear RNA, 121 nt
Organism: Arabidopsis thaliana (thale cress)
Lineage: Eukaryota; Viridiplantae; Streptophyta; Magnoliopsida; Brassicales; Brassicaceae
Source: RefSeq